UACGUAGGGGGCUAGCGUUGUCCGGAAUCAUUGGGCGUAAAGCGCGUGUAGGCGGUCCGGUAAGUCCGCUGUGAAAGUCGGGGGCUCAACCCUCGGAUGCCGGUGGAUACUGUCGGGCUUGAGUACGGAAGAGGCGAGUGGAAUUCCUGGUGUAGCGGUGAAAUGCGCAGAUAUCAGGAGGAACACCGGUGGCGAAGGCGGUUCUCUGGGCCUGUACUGACGUGAGGAGCGAAAGCGUGGGGAGCAAACAGGA
This 253-nucleotide ribosomal RNA is filed under the name uncultured bacterium. Its description in RNAcentral is "partial 16S ribosomal RNA". It matches the Rfam family "Bacterial small subunit ribosomal RNA", at positions 524 to 777 of the family's 1533-position model. The record is from RNAcentral.